Molecule: unclassified non-coding RNA, 240 nt
Filed under: soil metagenome
Description: partial contains 5.8S ribosomal RNA, internal transcribed spacer 2, and large subunit ribosomal RNA
Source: RNAcentral
AACCUAGCACACCUGCGGUGUGUACCUGCGGAGGGAUCAUUACAAGAGUGUUUUACCCCCUAUAAAAUGGUGGGUUUAACCUCCCGUCCUUUGCUAGACCCCCCCCGUUUUAGGGGGGCCUUUCAAACUUUUCUGCUUCGGCGGGAUUAUUCCCGCCGGAACACCCUCAAAAAUUCUUGGUUAAAACUGUUCAGUCCGAGAAUUACCCAAUAAAAAAAAAACUUUUAGCAAUGGAUCUCA